GAUGAACGCUGGCGGCGUGCCUAACACAUGCAAGUCGAGCGAAGCGGGGACGGGUGAGUAACACGUGGAUAACCUCCUAUAAGACUGGGAUAACCUCGGGAAACCGGAGCUAAACCGGAUUCUUUUACAUGGAUCCGGACUGCAUUAGCUAGUUGGUAAGGUAACGGCUUACAAAGGCAACGAUUCAUAGCCGGCCUGAGAGGAUGAUCGGCCACACUGGAACUGAGAAACGGUCCAGACUCCUACGGGAGGCAGCAGUGGGGAAUAUUCCGCAAUGGGCGAAAGCCUGACGGAGCAACGCCGCGUGAGUGAUGAAGGUCUUCGGGUCGUAAAGCUCUGUUAUUGGGGAGGCGGUACCUGAACAGGAAGCCACGGCUAACUACGUGCCAACAGCCGCGGUAAUAC
Molecule: ribosomal RNA, 405 nt
Filed under: uncultured bacterium
Lineage: Bacteria
Description: partial 16S ribosomal RNA
Rfam family: Bacterial small subunit ribosomal RNA
Source: RNAcentral